GACAGACAGUGCGGGCGUUAUUCGGAUUGACUGGGCGUAAAGGGUACGUAGGUUGCCUAAAUAACUAUGUUCGAAAAGCUAGAGAAUAACUGUAGACAAGAACAUACCGAUUUUUAGGCUACGAGUUAAGUAGAAGUCGGAACAAUUUCUAGUGUAAGAGUAGAAUCUAACUAUAUUAGAACGAAUACCAAUGGCGGAAGCAUCUCUCUAGACUUAACUGACGCUGAGGUACGGAGGCAUGGGGAGCAAACAGG
Molecule: ribosomal RNA, 254 nt
Filed under: uncultured bacterium
Lineage: Bacteria
Description: partial 16S ribosomal RNA
Rfam family: Bacterial small subunit ribosomal RNA
Source: RNAcentral